This is a non-coding RNA of Schistosoma curassoni, 45 nucleotides long. The record is from Rfam. Lineage: Eukaryota; Metazoa; Platyhelminthes; Trematoda; Strigeidida; Schistosomatidae.
AUCCAGCUGACGAGUCCCAAACAGGACGAACCGCGAGUCCUGGAU